RNAcentral lists this ribosomal RNA (497 nucleotides) under uncultured bacterium. RNAcentral's name for it is "partial 16S ribosomal RNA". It matches the Rfam family "Bacterial small subunit ribosomal RNA", at positions 28 to 507 of the family's 1533-position model. The record is from RNAcentral.
GACGAACGCUGGCGGCGUGCCUAAUACAUGCAAGUUGAGCGAUGAAGAUUGGUGCUUGCACCAAUUUGAAGAGCAGCGAACGGGUGAGUAACGCGUGGGGAAUCUGCCUUUGAGCGGGGGACAACAUUUGGAAACGAAUGCUACUACCGCAUAACAACUUUAAACAUAAGUUUUAAGUUUGAAAGAUGCAAUUGCAUCACUCAAAGAUGAUCCCGCGUUGUAUUAGCUAGUUGGUGAGGUAAAGGCUCACCAAGGCGAGGAUACAUAGCCGACCUGAGAGGGUGAUCGGCCACAUUGGGAAUGAGACACGGCCCAAACUCCUAAGGGAGGCAGCAGUAGGGGAUUUUCGGCAAUGGACGAAAGUCUGACCGAGCAACGCCGCGUGAGUGAAGAAGGUUUUCGGAUCGUAAAACUCUGUUGGUAGGGAAGAACGUUGGUGAGAGUGGAAAGCUCAUCAAGUGACGGUAACUACACAGAAAGGGACGGCUAACUACGUG